GACGAACGCUGGCGGCGUGCCUAAUACAUGCAAGUAGAACGCACAGUUUAUACCGUAGCUUGCUACACCAUAGACUGUGAGUUGCGAACGGGUGAGUAACGCGUAGGUAACCUGCCUGGUAGCGGGGGAUAACUAUUGGAAACGAUAGCUAAUACCGCAUAAUAUUAAUUAUUGCAUGAUAAUUAAUUGAAAGGUGCAAUUGCACCACUACCAGAUGGACCUGCGUUGUAUUAGCUAGUAGGUGAGGUAACGGCUCACCUAGGCGACGAUACAUAGCCGACCUGAGAGGGUGAUCGGCCACACUGGGACUGAGACACGGCCCAGACUCCUACGGGAGGCAGCAGUAGGGUAUCUUCGGCAAUGGACGAAAGUCUGACCGAGCAACGCCGCGUGAGUGAAGAAGGUUUUCGGAUCGUAAAGCUCUGUUGUAAGAGAAGAACGGGUGUGAGAGUGGAAAGUUCACACUGUGACGGUAUCUUACCAGAAAGGGACGGCUAACUACGUG
Molecule: ribosomal RNA, 505 nt
Filed under: uncultured bacterium
Lineage: Bacteria
Description: partial 16S ribosomal RNA
Rfam family: Bacterial small subunit ribosomal RNA
Source: RNAcentral